Molecule: long non-coding RNA, 4591 nt
Organism: Biomphalaria glabrata
Lineage: Eukaryota; Metazoa; Mollusca; Gastropoda; Planorbidae
Exons: 5
Source: RefSeq, a predicted model, not a curated record
AUAUACAAGGGCCAAAAAGUGUAGUGUUUUGGGGAGGGGGCGUUUCUUUAAAAAUAUUAAAUGUGUGUUUGGGAGAAUUUUAAUGUAGGUAGAUAAGACUACUACUGAUGAACCUAAGAAGAGUUUGUGCAUACUCCACAAUAUGGGUUUUCAGGCCAUUUGAUUGAAUGAUCAAAGAGACAAAAAAUAAAGGUGGCUUAUAAAUCUGAGGGCUAGAAAAUUGUGUUAGUUGUGGGGUAGCAUUUUUAUGCAGGCUUUUUUAUUGAUGGAUUCAAAAGGGAUAUACACAUGUAGCAACUAUUUUAACAGUAGCGCAGCAUGGGUAUCAGAUAUAGCUAUGUGUUUCUAGAAUUCAAGGACAGCUGUUUCAUAAGAUUAUCUACAAUGGCCAAACUGAUAGGCCUAACAAGUGUUUGUGUUUUUGUUUGUAAAAAAUAAUAGUAGUUAAGUAGUGAAUAAAUUUAUUUUUUUUUAUUGUAAUAGGGAAAAAAUUAGCAGACCAAAUCUACACUUAUCUUGUAGUUAGUUAAGCACCACUAGCGAUCUGCUGAGUAGUUCUAUUAAUUUCUUUUAUAUUCCAGCCAUCUCCCCUCAUUGUUAGCCAUCCAUUCUUGAAAUUCUUUUGUUUUGAUCUCUUGCUAUGUCUUGCUUUGUCACAAGAUUAUAAGAAGUUAUUUGCUGCAACUGAACUAGAUACUUUUAUGUUUGUUUUUAGGUACAUCUUAUGGUGAAGAGUGGUUCAGGCAAGACCAGUAUGUGGUCCAUAAUACUUGCUAAUUGUAUUGCAAGGGACACAAGAAGAAUUGGUGUAACAAUGUUCUUGUGGCAUCCAGUGAUAUUGUCAGGAACCAGCCAAGAGUGGAAUGAAAAAAAGCACUAAAAUGUCAUUUGCUGGCACUGUGGCCUGAAUGGCAUCAGAAGUCAUUUGAAAUAAAAUGUGCAGUGAAAUGAAAAAGUAGACAUUUGGAGUGCAAAGCUCAAAAAUAGACCAUCAUUUAGACAAAUUCUCAUGCACCUUGAGAUUGCCUCUGCUAAAUUACUUUGGUUCAGUCAGGAGGACUUUUCUGAAUCUCAAUGAAGUCCUUAACUGAAAGACACAGAUUCUGUCAUUAUCAUCAAGAUAUUCUAAGAAAGGAUCUGAGGUGAGAACAAUUACUGACUAUGUACAAUAACAGUAGUAAGAGUAUAAUUCAUCCAAUCAUAAAAGUUCUAGAAAAGCUAGAUCGACUUGGUAAAAAAACUGACACAUAGGUCAGAGUCUGAAGUCACCAUGCCUGACUCUAUGAAAAACACAGAAGGGAGCAUGACAACCAGGUCUUAGCUGGUACCACCACCUCCUACGAAAAUGCGUGCCAGGAAGUCUCGUCAUCGUCGCAAUAACAGCAGAGGGUCUAUGAAAGACAUUACCUCUCCGCUCAAAUCUCAAUCUACAUAUGAAGCUUCACUGGACACCCAAACAUCAGACAAACUAAACCCUGCAGGGCUUCAUCCUACUGACCUAUGCUAAGACAUUAAACUUUUUGGAACCUGUCACUGCAAUCAGGGAGUAUCGAAGUGAAGAUGAAGCUGAUGGGCAAGAGACUAGGUUAACAACAUUAAAAAACGUGAAGUUCGUUGUAGCAAAAACUCAUCCACUUCUUCUGCUAGGCACUUGCCAAUCUCAAAACUUUUUCCUGUAAGUAAGUAAAAGCAGCACUCAUCCUAUCAAGACAAUAACAUUAAUGAUGUUUGCUUUGGCUGUAAUGGUGGCUGCAGUGAUGCUACUUGUAGCACCAAAUGCUCAUCCCAGGUCAGUGCUGAUGUGGAGAACACAUUUGACCUAUGCCCAGCCCAAAACAGAACUUGGAAACUAUGAGUGAAAAAUCCUCUCCGGAUGUUGACCUCUCAUCCUGACCUGAAACUUUUAUUUCAAUGCUGACAUAACAAACAGAUGGUUUGUUAUUGUUGUAUUUGAAAAACACAAAUGUCUACCAAAAUUGAGGCCCACUUUCUUCAAUUCUUUACAAAGGUAACCUGCAGCAUGUUAAAAGGAUGAAGUUUGUGAUAGGCUUCUUAAAAAGUUGGUUCCAAUAGAAAUUAAACUUAGUUAAUUCAUAAGUAUCAAUUUUAACCAGGUGUAAUAGUUUGUAUUUCAAAUGUCUAAUAAGUCCACUUGGGCAUUAUUUGUUUAUUGGGAGCACUGUUUGAUUAGCCAGUGCACUAGGAACUUUUGUCUCUUUCAUAAAAAUGAGCAUUUUAAAAAAUUUCCUUUAAACUUAAAGAUGACUCAUUUUCAAAAGCUAAUUGCAUUCAAGGUUUGGGCUGCAGAUUGGCUUAGCCAAUACGCAAGGAACUACUGCAUGUUGGUAAUAAGCUAAUGCACAGGAAAAUAGUAUUUAUUGGCUAUUGCUAACAACCAAUAUAAAAAGGAUUUUCAGCCAGUGCAUGUUUUCAAGAGGGGAAAAUUCCUCUUAAAUAAAUACACACAAUGAUUUUGUAUGCAGUUUUCUUUGCUUCUUUUCUCCUCAUUUUCAUCUUUGCUAAUGACACAUUUAUUAGUUUAUCUCAAGUUUAUUUAUUUAAUGAUAAUAUUUUAUCAAAUCUUUGAAAUAUAAAAAAAAAAUUAAAACUAACAUAUCACAUUUUUUAACUCUUUCUCUCCAUAAUUAUACCACAUUCUGGUGGAAUCAACGCUGGUAUCGUCAGUUAGGAGAGAAAGAGUUAAAACUUUUUUGUUUUGUAUCUUAGAACAUGGUAACCACUACUGGCAUUUCGAGAUAAUAAUAAAAAUAGAUGCAUAUUUUUUCAUGUCUUUUUUUUUGCAUUCUUAAAAAGAAUGUAUGCAUCCAAAACAGUGUUACCCAACCUAGAGCCUGUAGGCCAUAUCUGACCCAUGAUGCAGUGCAGUUUGGCUUUUGAAGCUUCUGCUCAUGGUGCAGAGACCAAUUUCAUUGGACUUGCCUUUUUUUUAUGUGGCUGAUGACAUGUAAAAGAAAUUCAGCCUUCAGGCUGGAAAAGGUUGGGCAGCACUGACCUAAAUCAUCCCUUUUGAGUUUUGUCCACAUCAAUACAUGAUUUUAUUUCCUGUCCAAUUUUUCAUAGACCUAAAAAACUUGUUGGAUUUUUUAAAUGUUGAUAGAACAGAAAGAAAAAAAAGUUUUCUUUUUCAGGUGGGGUGCUCUGUACCCUUAAGUUUUUGGACUAGUAUUUAAAAAUAGUAUUCAGUCCUACAAAAAGAUUAGUUUAUUGAGACUUCAAAUUGUUUUGUUGUUUUAUAAGGUCAAUUUUAAAAAUGUCAUCACCUCCAACUUGAAUUAUUCUCAAUAUGAAAAACAAAGUGUGAAUUAUUUUGUCAUAGAAACACUUAUUACAACAUAAACUGAAAAAAAAAGUUGAAUAUUAUAUAAAUAUUGUAUAUUACAAUAGCUCAUGAUUUUUACUAACGAGUUUCACUUCAGUUUCUCUGUGGCUAAUUACUCUUAUUUCAUACAUUUAUAAGUGUAUAUUUGUUUGUAUAGAUCUUUAUUUAUUUUAACACACAUCUUCUUUUCUCUAGAACUGUUCUUAAAGUUUACCAGAGACAUUUGUAUUAGAUGUCCAGAUGAUACUUGUUUUUAUUUGACCACAUACAUUUGUUAUUAUUCCAUUCAUUAGACAAACUGCAAACGUUUUGCUGGAUAAAACUUGCUUCAUCAAAACGUUUCGCUGGCUGGACUAUCACCUUGAUUCUACCUCUUAUUGAAAAGAGUUCAUCUUAGUUUAUGCUUUUGUUUGACUUUUGCACUCUCAAAUCUACUAAAUGUUAAUCAUAGAAAAGUACUGAAACAUUUUGUUUUUCUUAGCCAUGUCUACUACCAUUGUUAAAAUAGAUAAAAUUGUGAGGGAGUUUUAAAAAUGUAAAUAGCUAGAUUACUAGCACAACUAUUCAUUGAAAUUCAUUUUAGUGGAAAGGGGAGGACAAAAAAGUGUUUUCUAUGUUGUUUUGUUAUAUGCUUUAUUUUAAUUGACAUUUAUUUUCUUUUGUUAUUCAUUCUCUAAGUACCAGUAUGAAGAAACCAAAACAAGCUGCUGAGGGAACAUCUGAUUAAUACUUUUUUAUAUAUAUAAAUUGUAUUUGGUAGCAUUUUUUUAGGUUUUUUUUUUCUAAAGCAUUUAUUGUUGACUUAAUUUAAAAUAUUCUUUUAUCUCAGAUUUGUGAUUAGUACAUUAAAACAAAAAAAAAACAGUUUUGUAAUAUGAUAUAUUAUUAUUCAUCACUGUUGCUAAUCCAUAUUUUUUUUUUUUUACAUUUAAACACCUUGUAUAUUGACAGAAGAAUUCUUUUGUGUUCUCCUGAUUCCUACAAUCAUUCUAGUGGCGGCCAUUUUAUUUCUUGUUAUUUGUAGAACUAUGAUUCAGUUGUUGUUGUUGUGAAUUAGUCCUGCCAAUGGUUAUUAUGUAUUUAUAUGGUUUAAAAUUUUUUUUAAAUUAUUGUAAAGACAAUCUAAAUAAUGCCUGUCCUGUGUUGUCAGGACUUUAUUUAUGAUUAGAUUUUUAAAUGUCUAGGUAAUUAAGUAAAAUUUUAAUUGCAAUAUGUGUGUGUAUUAAAGAAUAAUUGUUAUCUUUUGCUUGA